AGAGUUUGAUCCUGGGCUCAGAAUGAACGCUAGCGAUAUGCUUUACACAUGCGAGUCGAACGAAAUAAAUUUAAGUGGCUUACGGGUGAGUAAUGCCCGGGAACCUUCCUUACAGUUAGGGAUAAUGAGAUCUCAUUUGAGAGAAAAUUCCUUUUUGGAAUAAUAAAAAUACCUAAUAUAAAAAAGAUUAAUCGCUGUAAGAUGGGCCCGGGUAGGAUUAGGUAGUUGGUGAGGUAAAGGCUUACCAAGCCGAAGAUCCUUAGUUGAUCUGAGAGGAUGAUCAACCACAAUGGGACUGAGACACGGCCCAUCCUCCAGAAGGAGGCAGCAGUGGGGAAUAUUGGACAAUGGGCGAAAGCCUGAUCCAGCAAUAUCGCGUGAAUGAUGUUUAACCAAAAAAAAUUUAGGUUCAAAUGACCAUAAAAUUCUUUCAUCAAGGACUAUAAUGACUGUACUUGAAGAAGAAGUCCCGGCCAACCUCGUGCCAGCAGCCGCGGUAAUACGAGGGGGACUAGCGUUAUUCUUCAUGACUGGGCGUAAAGGGUGUGUAGGCUGUCUAUUAAGUUGAAAUUAAAAAACCAAAGUUUAACUUUGGAAAAGGUUUUAAAACUAAUAUGACUGGAGUGUCACAGAGGAUAGUGGAAUUUUUAGAGGAGUGAUAGAAUAUAGAGAUACUAAAAGGAACGCCAAAGGCGAAGGCAACUAUCUGGGGGAACACUGACGUUGAAACACGAAAGUAUGGGGAGCAAACAGGAUUAGAUACCCUGGUAGUCCAUAGCUGUCAACGAUGAGUGUUUAAUAUUGGAUUCUUUUCAAUUUUUAAGCUAACGCAAUAAACACUCCGCCUGGGAAGUACGACCGCAAGGUUGAAACUCAAAGGAAUUGACGGGGAUUCGCACAAGCGGUGGAGCAUGUGGUUUAAUUCGAUACAACGCGCAAAACCUUACCAGCUCUUGUCUUGUGAAGAGAUAAGAAAAUCCAGAAAUGAAUUUUUGAAGUCAAAUGGAAGAAUCUUUUUUUUAAUUUUUCUUCUCUUCGACUUAGCUUCACACAGGUGUUGCAUGGCUGUCGUCAGCUCGUGUUGUGAGAUGUUUGGUUAAUUCCAUUAACGAGCGCAACCCUUCUUUUUAGUUGCUACAAAAGUUAUUCCACGAAAUAACUUUAAUAAAAUUAGAUUUAUAAGUACUUUAAAAAAACCGCUGACCGAAAGGUUAGAGGAGGGGGAGGAUGACGUCAAGUCCUCAUGGCCCUUAUGAGCUGGGCUACACACGUGCUACAAUGAUGAUUACAAAAGGACGCAAUUAUGCAAUUAUAAGCAAAUCCACAAACAUCAUCUCAGUUCAGAUUGUUCUCUGCAACUCGGGAACAUGAAGUUGGAAUCGCUAGUAAUCGUGGAUCAGCACGCCACGGUGAAUAUGUUCCCGGAUCUUGUACACACCGCCAGUCACACCUUGGAAGUUUAUCUUACCUGAAAUUUUUCUACUAAUAAGAUUUUUAAUAAUAAAGGUAUUUGCGCAAAGUCGUUUUCUUUAUUAUUUAAAUUUCUUAAGGUAGUCAAUGACGGUGGAUUAGUAACUGAGGUGAAGUCGUAACAAGGUAACC
RNAcentral lists this ribosomal RNA (1602 nucleotides) under uncultured bacterium. Its description in RNAcentral is "bacterial SSU rRNA". It matches the Rfam family "Bacterial small subunit ribosomal RNA". The record is from RNAcentral.